UUGCAUGGCUACAGAGUCAUCCACAAGGAUUAUUUUGGUACUUCUUGUCCUGCCUGGCAGCACUGCUUAUGUUCCUAACUGACUUCUGUCUUCAGCGACUGUCUGCCAAAGCUUUUCCUUCGUCUCUCUGAUUAGAUCUGUCACGUCCUGUCAGAACUGAGGAUGUAUGAAAAUCUUUUAAGUCUAAAGAAGCACCCAUUUAUGGAAGGAAGAAGGGAGAACUUCUGAAUGGACAGACGAAAUGGACAUGCGGAGUAAUGGGUCAGGAAGUGUAACAUGCAGAAGGUAUACCCUGUACUUUGAGGUCCACAAUGAGAAUGUGCAGAACAUACGGCCUGGAGAAAACUACACAAGAUCAGAUCACAUGGACUGAGCACGAGACCGAUCUGACCCCACCAUUAAAGAAAGGAUAAAAUGAUGUGGCCCUCACAGAAAAAGGUUUGGGUACCCCUGUUGUAGACAGUACACCGUUUACAAGAACAGUAGUUAUACAGAAGUCACACAGUAGUCAUGCAGUACCUUAAAUGGGAUAUGUAGAAAUGAGGUCAUGUUUCCUGAUUACUUUCUUGGUUAAAAAAACUAUAUAAAAGUAUAAAUGCAUUGAUUAUUCCAGACACCAGUAUCAUGAAAAGCAUCUUGAAAUCCAUCGUUCUGUUUCAUUUGGAUUUAAAGCAGUAGUGAGAACUUUAUAGGUUGUAUAUUGUAUAUUAUAGGUGUAAUAAAGAUGUUUAUUGGGGAUGAGAACAUGCUGAUAUUGGGUUCUAUUGGGAACACAAGUGCUCAUGAGGGCAAAUUCUGAGAAAGAUAGUAAUGUUUUAAAAAUCUUUUGCAAAUGCCCAAAUAUGCAUGUCAAACCAAGAUCUAAUUAGUGCAUGUUGUAGGCAAUAGACAUGAUCAUGGUGAUUGAUUUCUUUCACAGGGUGUGAACUCCAGCAUAACCAAGUGCAUGUUGGUGUGUGAAAUUUCACAUGUUGUCAUGGUUAUUUCCACUACAGGUGUUUUGUUGAGUGUGAACAGCUUGUCUGAUCUUAAACAGAAAUGCAACUUUUGAAGAUGAUUGCUGCUGCCGCUGUUUAGUAUUGCUCUUGCUCUCUUAGGGUGCUUCCUUCACACCUGCCAUUUUUUUUCUCAACUGCCAACACAUGCUUGAAUAAUCCUUAGGGAAGUGUCAGCGGUGGAGUGUUUAUGAAGUGAAAAGAAAAAAAAAACACCAGGUAAUGGCUAGAUAUAUUUUCCUCCUAUUCAAUCAUGCUGCAAGUUGAAGGAAGGCAUGAGAGCAGAUAAACAUUCCUGCAAAAAAAAAAAAAAACAAUUUUUUGAGCAAAUAUAAGAUUUAGAGCAAGUUGAAUAGAAAAUAUCUCAUCAUCCUGUUGCAAUAGAAAAAAAUAACCACUUAUAGUUUGGGGUAUUUAUUAAUACAGGAUGUGAUGUCCAGUUGUGGCUGCGUAGAGUCAAAAAAAAUUAAAGCAAACUACCUUAUCACUAUGGUUAUAGCAAACUUUGUGAUAUUAUUACUACUACUACUAAAUCUGAAUAGCAAGAUAGGCAAGUUACUAGUUAGGUGAUAAAUAAUGUAUAAAUGUCAUGAUUUAAUUGUUCUUAUAAACAUUGCUGGUCUGAACUUUCUUCGAUGGAUGCUUGCUAUUAAUUUGAUAGCUGUGCUAUGCCAAACAAUAGAUAUGUACAGGACAGGUUUUCUGGGACUACUGAUCUCCUGUCUGGAUAAAUUGCCACAGUA
Molecule: long non-coding RNA, 1738 nt
Organism: Silurus meridionalis
Lineage: Eukaryota; Metazoa; Chordata; Actinopteri; Siluriformes; Siluridae
Exons: 4
Source: RefSeq, a predicted model, not a curated record